AGAUAUGGCCUUGUGAUAUUCGGUGCCAUUGAUGGAUACUCCAGGAAGAUCAUGUACCUUGGAGCUGCAACAGAUAACAAAGCAUCGACUGCCCUUGGUUUUUUCCAUCAGUCAGUGGAGAUGCAUGGGUAUCCGUUAAGAGUUCGAGGAGACCACGGAGUAGAAAAUGUGGAGAUCGCUAGGUGUAUGUUUUCUGUGCGAGGCUGUGGGAGGGGAAGUUUCCUGUCAGGAAAAAGCGUGCAUAACCAGCGUAUUGAACGCCUUUGGCGCGACAUAUGGAUGGCUGUAACCAACAUCUUCUAUGAUGUUUUACACACCCUCGAGGAGGAAGGGUUACUAGAUCCAGCAAACAGCCUCCACAUGUUUUGUUGUCAUUAUGUGUUCCUGCCACGCCUGCAGGCCAGCCUUGAUUCCUUCACUUGUGGAUGGAAUAACCAUCCACUUCCGCACAGAAGGCAAUCGAAGCCCCAACCAAAUGUGGGAAAUCGGGCUUAUUCAAAACCCUGUUGCUCCUCCAGAAUCUGAGAAUGCUCAAGAUGAAGACUCUGACUGGGACACGACCAGAAUCCCUGACCAGCCAUCCAGAGGAAUUGUGGUUCCUCCAGUUGAUUGCACAUUAACUGAGGAAUUAAAGGCCCAGCUGCAAGCUGUUGUUGACCCAACC
Molecule: long non-coding RNA, 664 nt
Organism: Megalobrama amblycephala (Wuchang bream)
Lineage: Eukaryota; Metazoa; Chordata; Actinopteri; Cypriniformes; Xenocyprididae
Exons: 5
Source: RefSeq, a predicted model, not a curated record